UGCAGUCGAGCGGUAGAGAGAAGCUUGCUUCUCUUGAGAGCGGCGGACGGGUGAGUAAAGCCUAGGAAUCUGCCUGGUAGUGGGGGAUAACGUUCGGAAACGGACGCUAAUACCGCAUACGUCCUACGGGAGAAAGCAGGGGACCUUCGGGCCUUGCGCUAUCAGAUGAGCCUAGGUCGGAUUAGCUAGUUGGUGAGGUAAUGGCUCACCAAGGCGACGAUCCGUAACUGGUCUGAGAGGAUGAUCAGUCACACUGGAACUGAGACACGGUCCAGACUCCUACGGGAGGCAGCAGUGGGGAAUAUUGGACAAUGGGCGAAAGCCUGAUCCAGCCAUGCCGCGUGUGUGAAGAAGGUCUUCGGAUUGUAAAGCACUUUAAGUUGGGAGGAAGGGCAUUAACCUAAUACGUUAGUGUUUUGACGUUACCGACAGAAUAAGCACCGGCUAACUCUGUGCCAGCAGCCGCGGUAAUACAGAGGGUGCAAGCGUUAAUCGGAAUUACUGGGCGUAAAGCGCGCGUAGGUGGUUUGUUAAGUUGGAUGUGAAAUCCCCGGGCUCAACCUGGGAACUGCAUUCAAAACUGACUGACUAGAGUAUGGUAGAGGGUGGUGGAAUUUCCUGUGUAGCGGUGAAAUGCGUAGAUAUAGGAAGGAACACCAGUGGCGAAGGCGACCACCUGGACUAAUACUGACACUGAGGUGCGAAAGCGUGGGGAGCAAACAGGAUUAGAUACCCUGGUAGUCCACGCCGUAAACGAUGUCAACUAGCCGUUGGGAGCCUUGAGCUCUUAGUGGCGCAGCUAACGCAUUAAGUUGACCGCCUGGGGAGUACGGCCGCAAGGUUAAAACUCAAAUGAAUUGACGGGGGCCCGCACAAGCGGUGGAGCAUGUGGUUUAAUUCAAU
RNAcentral lists this ribosomal RNA (903 nucleotides) under Pseudomonas sp. RNAcentral describes it as "bacterial SSU rRNA". It matches the Rfam family "Bacterial small subunit ribosomal RNA", at positions 56 to 955 of the family's 1533-position model. Lineage: Bacteria; Pseudomonadati; Pseudomonadota; Gammaproteobacteria; Pseudomonadales; Pseudomonadaceae. The record is from RNAcentral.